This 9588-nucleotide long non-coding RNA is filed under the name Ananas comosus (pineapple). RNAcentral describes it as "long non-coding RNA (ACOM_LNC005562)". Lineage: Eukaryota; Viridiplantae; Streptophyta; Magnoliopsida; Poales; Bromeliaceae. The record is from RNAcentral.
UGUAAAUGAACCUAGGUUAUGAUGUAAAGAGACACUCAGUAAAAGUAAACUAAGUUAUGAAUUAUAGUGGGAAUAGGACCACUAGGAAGUGAAUGGUAUAGACCUAAAAAGGUCGUCGACAUAGGUAAAAGAGUAAACCUUAAGUUGUGAAAGUGGAUUCGCGAAUCCCUAGGAAUGGUGCUGAUGGCAAGAAUAGAAUCAGAAACUACGGGAUUGACGGUUCCCUCCCCGGUAGUGAUUCAACGGAUCGACGUUUCUCCCUCGCCGUAUGCCAUGAAACAAGUGAAUCGAAAACUACGGGAUUGACGUUUCUCUCUCCCGGUAGUGAUUCAACGGUCGACGGUUCUCCUCUCCCGGUAUGAGCUAACGGGUUUGACGGUUCUCUCCUACCGUUAAGCUUGAGCGACUUAGGGUCACAGGAUCGACGGUUCUCCUCUCCCUGUUAUGACUUAGUGUCGCGUGGACUUAAGGCUGGGUGCUUGUGAGACGUCCUUCACCUCGAGUGACUUGACGCGGUACUCGCGGAUGAUUGACUCAAGACGAGUCGAGUGCAUAGAUGGCUAAGGUAAAAAACCUUAGGAAAGAAUCGCCAGUGAGCAUAAUUUGACAAAGAGAAAGAAUAAAGAGAAUAGCUAAUGAACGAGAAUAGCUAAGAAGAAAAGACGGCUACAAGUAAAAACGGUUAAUGAUAUAAAGUAGAAUCAAGUAAUCUACUUACGUGAUUUAAGGUAUUGCAUAUUGCAUAGACGCGAGGCAAGGUAUGGUUUUUUGUUGCAUAGUCAAUAUUUAUCUAUUUAUUUGUUGAACUAACCUACUGUUGCCUCCUUUGGACCUGGUGGGUCGAGCUCUUCUCUUGGGUGGCCGUACCCACUGGGAACUAUAUUUAUAUAGUUCUCACCCCCCGUGUUGUUUUGGGGUACAGGUUGCACGCGAGCGCGCGGCGGCGCGAGACAUGGCGUAGCUCCGUAGAUAGCGCCCCCCCACUGAAGACGGAUAGCAAUACCUGAAGAGUAAGCUCAGCGUAUUAGUAUGAAUGAAACAAAAUUGUAGUAAAAGUGUAUAAGUUGUAAUAAUUUAAACGCUUAUGUAAUAUUGUAAAGGUAGAACUCUGAGAUGUAUCUUGUAAUAGCGUAGUUAGAAUUUUAUGUUUUUGAUACUUAUGCAAUCUGUUGUUGAAUACAGUUCUUGUUUGGAACCUCUUGUAUUGCAUUGUAUAGAUUGUGACGCCUAGAACGUACAGGGGAGGCUCUGUCCGUUCGCGGUCUGUCGGCGUGCCCGAAUCCGACCAAAUUGGCGGAGCUCGGGGCGUGACAAUAUGACCCUCCACCCUAUCUUCUCUCAUUUCUCUUCUCUCAACUCUCUCCACCUCCUCUUGGUAGAAGAGAAGAGAAGAGGAGAAGGAGAAGAAGGAAGGAAGAAGAAGAAGAUUGAGAGCUUUUAGGGAGCUUGGAGGCAUCUUCCCCACCCUCAUCUUCUUCUUUGGUGUUGGAGCUUGGACUUGGAGCUUGCAAAGGAGAAGAUCUUCACCCUUUGAGCUUGGAUUGGAGUUCUUAGAGGUUGGUAGUCUUUUUCUCCGAAUCUAGACUUUAGAUUUGAGGUUUUUAUUGUUUUGGAAACCUAGAAUGAGGUUUUAGGGUUGAUUUGGGGCUUUUUGAUCUAGGGCUUUUGAGGCUAGAUUGAUGUUUUAGAACCUUCCUUGGGCUUGGAGUGGAAAGGUUCUAGCUCUCUUUUAGAGCUUGGAAGAGAUUUCUCUCUUGAGGUGAAGAUUGACGCCCUUUUGCUUCUAGGUUAAUGUUUGAUAUUAUAUGAGAUCGUAAUGCCCGUAUAUCUUGUCGCUCAAUACUUCUAGGGUAUUCGAGACUCGGGGACAACUUUGUUCGGCGAAACGAGCCCUACUCGACGGUUCGGUGGGUUUGACCUAGCCUAUGAUAUGAGAAAUGCUCAUAUUUGGCAAAUAUGUUUCGUAAAAUAAAUUCUUGCAUUUCCUUGUAAUUGUAUUUAAUAUGAAUUUUAGAAUGCUUAACAUGCAUAUAUUAUGUAUAGUGAAAUUUUAGACCCUAUGUGGUAGAGUGAUGCAUAUAAGACUUAGCAUUCUAUUUAUGAUUGGGAACCAUGAUCCUUAUUAUGUUAAAGGACCUUGCUUCAUGCAUUUAACCUAUAUGCAAUUGUGACAUUAGGAAUGUUAGAAGCCUAGAGAGGGCUUGAGAACUUGGACUAUUUGAGAAUUGAGACAAUGUCAUAAAGAGGCAUUGGCCCGGAUCAUGGUAAUCAUUGGUAUUGAUGUUUUAAUGAAACAUAGAACAAGAUUUGGCUUGAUCUGUUGUGAAGCUUAAGUGUCAAAAGAGGCACUAAGCAAGGAUGUUGGCAUCACUUAGAGACAUGAGGAUUGGAUACUUGAGACUUGGACUACUUGCUUGCUAUUUGUGCUCAUUCGCACAUGCUUGUGAGGGUCGCUCCCUACAAGCAGCACUCCGGAGUUAGCCUACGCGACUUAUGUUCGCUCAGUGCGGUAUUGAGAACCUAUGACGCCUAGAACGUACAGGGGAGGCUCUGUCCGUUCGGCGGUCUGUCGGCGUGCCCGAAUCCGACCAAAUUGGCGGAGCUCGGGGCGUGACAGAUUAAAUGGUAUCAGAGCAUAAAAGAGAAUAAAAGAGAAUACUAGAAACGGUUUAGAUGGACCUAGGAGACCUAGGAUAGUAAACCGUAAGGAUUUACACUCGUGAGAGACGUGGACUUGUGACGUGUGGCGAAAGGUAAAUCGAUUGGGUCAAGUUUAGUAAACCUCUAAGACGGAUAUUAGAGGUAGAUUCAAGGUUCAGUUUAUUCUCAGCCAAGUGAGUUCAUGUUGGGUCGACACAACAUGAAAUCGAGGGAUGGGAAUAAGCUUCCUUGCAUGACUUUCGCCCGAUUUGAGUUUGUAUUAAUUAUUUCGUAUUUGACCCAAAGGGUCGAGGACUGACCGAGUUGUCGCGUCAUGUUUCAGGGAAUGAUGGCACCGCGUAGGCUAUCUUCGUCUAGAUCGGCGCGGGAUGGGACAAGUGGUGUCCCCGAGCAUACUGAGACGAGCGGAGACUUGGAGCUUCGCGAGCAGUUGGCCACACUCGUGGGAGUGGUAAGGCAACAAGCGGAUGUAGUGCAACGUCAGCAGGACGCUGCUCUGCGCCAAGAAGAGCGGAUUAAGAGACUCCAGAAAACGGUGGAUCAGUUAGGGACCGCACUAGUUUCGGCUCGUCGUGUACGGCCAGGAGUCGCAGCGGAGGCAUUUCAGUCGGGGUCGAGCAAUCCGACUGCUGUUAGUUCAGAGAUGGAAGCGGAAAGGGAGCGAGCUUUGGCGGCUCUUAUGUCCUUCAAGAAGUUUGAUCCACCUACUUUCGAUGGAGAGGACAUAGAUCCAUGGACUGUGGAGUCGUGGAUUGACUCCAUAGAGACUAUUUUCGAGGAUUUGUACACAGUGGAGCGGGACAAGGUAUACUUAGCCGUGCAUUGUCUGCAACGGUCAGCGAAGGCGUGGUGGAAAGACAUCAAACGAAAUCGAUCGCCUAGUCUUCCUUCUAUGGUUUGGGAAGAGUUUCGGGAAUUAAUGCGUUUAACUUAUUUCCCCGAUAGUGAAAAGAGAAAGCUUCAGAACAGGUUUCAGAAACUACGACAAGGAGACCGUUCUGUGAGGGAAUACGAACGGGAAUUUUCCCGUAUCGUGAGCUCUGUUCCGAACGUGGUACAAGAUGACAAGGAUCGAGCUGAUUGUUUUGUACGAGGACUUUGGCCUGAUAUUUUCAAAGUGGUGCAUAAUCUUAAGUUGCAGACUUUUGCUGAAGUCUUGGAUCGGGCCCUGUGGAUAGAGCAAGGUAAUGCUUUUGUGCACGAAGAGCACGAGUCUCAUGAAUGUAAGCAAAGAGGAAUGAGGCUACUAUCUAAUAGUUCAGAUGAACAGUCAAGUUCUAGACGUCCCUCGACAUCGUCCUCUACCCGAUCAUCUCCAAGAUGUGUGAUUUGUGGUGGUUCCCACUGGGCACGACGUUGCGUGCAGCGGGAAGGAAAGUGCACUCGAUGUGGACAAUUGGAACACCCAGGUUAUGAGUGCUUGCAAAGUGAUAGUAUACUGGCGACAGCAUUUUCCUCUCCGGGACAACCUGCGGAUGUGCCACCCGCGGCAUGGUCUGGAGAGCGAUUGAGGAUAAGGCAACCGAGGGGUUCGCGACGGGCAGCAAGUGGCUGUGAAUAGGCGACCCAUGUGGUGGAACCUACUGCGACUGGUGGUAAUGUAGCAGGUAUGAGUUAAUUAAAGCAAGCAUGUAUUUCACUAUGAUAUAACUUGGUGCAUUGCAUGCAUUCAUUGUAUAGUCUGUACUACUAUUUGUGCAUGAGUAUAGUAGUGAUCAAGUGAACGGAUAAGUGCAGAGACCCGUACAUGCUUGUGUUGUGGAUGCGUAGUACCUGCAUGUGUGUGGCACUGUAGUGCCUGUUAAAGCAGGUAGUGAAUCUAAUGGCACUAGCAAAUCGCUGGUGAUAGCCUGUGAGAAGAAGUGAGACUCGUAGUAGAAAUGGUAGUGAUUGACCAACUCUCAAAACCAGUGCGAGUGGCUGAUUGCGAGAGUCUAGUCGUGAUGUUCGUGGAAUUCUUGUACGACCGAGCAUUUUGCAGGUUGUUCUAGUAGAUCGAACAGUGAAAGUGGAAUCACUGUUGCGUCUAGUACGUGCACGUGGACCUCGUAGUACAUCAAAGCGACGUAAGUAGGUCAUGCUCGUGUAGUCGAUAUGCAUAGGCAAGAAUUGCCUAAUGCUGGACUUAGUAUGACACGCGAUAGUGGCGUAUAGAGUGCUCGAGUAUAGGUACUCGUACUGUGCGGAUUUGAUUCAGCCGUGAGUGUGUUGGCAGUAGCACUUUAGCAUUGCUAAGUGUGAAGCGUGCCAGAGGUCACUCGUAGAGCUGGUGGCUCGCACUAGAUGCUUAGGAGCCGAUAGUGGUACAUGUGUUCAGUAGAGAGUGUCGUGUGAGACGACGUUUGCGGGUAGUGCUUGGGGACAAUUCGUGCCUGGACCACUUGCGGACUGUGGAGCCUAGACCUAUUGGGUAGGCGCAGUCAGCUGUGAGAGACAGCGGCCCGAUACCUGCAGGUAGGGCGGAGAGUUUUGGUCAGGACGGUAGUCCGAGCAUAGACCCGAGUACGUGGAAUGUCACGUGUUGGAUCGUGAAAUCGGUGAUGCACUAAGAGUGCGGUUGUGACCCAACCCGAGGACUUGGCGUGAUUUGGGGUCUUGGUUGCUCCCAGUUGGAGCAGGUAUACGAUAUCUCAAGUGAGAACUGUGUCUCGUGAUAAUUGGGUCUAUACUUGCGAGCGAGAGAUGUUGAGUUAAGUGAUAGGCCUAGCAAAUCGCCGAUCCGAUUUGCGAACAGAUCUGUGGUAAUUGAGACAAGUAGUUACCCGUGUGCAUUGUAAGUGAAUAUUUCGAACGUGUCCCAGUGAAGGAGAAUGUAUAGGGACCGUGAGAGCGAAGGCUCAGUCCUGUGGAUUAUUUAGUCAGAAUUGCUAAGACAAGCAUCGAUGACGAGCUGAGAUUGGAAACGCGAACAAAGGGUUCGUAGAGACUGAUUCGGAGGAAUCAGAGUAGCAUAGAAUGAAAAUUUUACCUGUUGAGGAUUGUUGGAACUUAUCUCCCUCCGUUAGGGUAAAUAGAAAAAUAUGUCUCUAAGUUUCGCGGACGAAACUUUUGUUAACGGGAGGAGAUUGUAAUAUACGGAAUCUGGGAGUUGCGAUGUCAAUUUUGACCUAGGGGAUUAAAGUGAGGUUUGAGCAAGUUUUGUAUCUUCCCCGAGGGAUUUUAGAUGUGUGGGAAUGAGUUUCAAAGAGAAAUAAGUGUUUCGGCGCAAAUUGGGCGCGAAACAAAAUGUAAAGAAAAUUUUCGGAUUUCCGACGCUAACUUUGAUUAAAAGAAUUAAAGUGAGCAAAAUAACAUAAAAUGGUAUGAGAUACCAUUUGAUUGGACUUAAGGGUGUAAAGUAUAAGUCUGGAAUGACUCGUGUUGAAAUCGGAGCGAAAACGGAAGAUUUAGAAUUUUCUGUAAAGAAUGGGACUGAGAAAUUAGCAGAAAAAUGCACAGUGUCAGAAAAUUAAGAAAAUUGGCGGAGAUGUCAGAAAUGGUUUUAUGAGGAUAGAUUUGAAGUUUCAUAUUUUUCUGACACAUGUAGAGAGAGAAAUAGCAUUCGGAAGUUAUCUGAUAAAGAUUACAGUUCGGGACAGUUCGCAGUGACCAAACGAGGUCGAAACUGAAAUGUUAAAAUUUCAGUGGACUUGUUAAGUAAAACCGAGCAUGCCUGUUAAAUUUGAGCUCAAUCGAACAUUUGGAAGGGCCUGCAAAAGGUAUCUGAUCCGAGUUGCUAAACGGAUUAGUAGAAGGGCAUUAUGGUAAUUAUUCCAUUACUUAGUGGAUUUCCACUAAGCUGCCUGGGGCAUCUUUAUCCUCUUCACCCUCCUGUACGCAUGAGAGAGAGAAGGAAAGGGAAACAAAGGAAAAAAGAAGAAGAAGAAGAAGAAGAAGAAAUUGAUGAAAUCGGUGUCGUUCGACGAGCCGAUCGAUCCCCCGCGCGUGUUGGAUUUUUCCGGCGCUUCAACUGCGAAGUUAGUAUUUUAUUGUUAUAAUUUCAAAUCUGAUUUUUUGAUGGAUUUUUGACGGUGGAUGUUAGGAGAGGUCGUUUUGAUGGAUCUAUGUUGAAUCUAUGCAAAAAUUGAAGUUUAGAAAUCGAUUUUAAUGUGAUUUAGGAGCCGAUUUUGAGACCGUUUCGUCGACCGAUUUUUCCGUGACUUUCGGGUUGUUGUGGCUGCCAUGCGGAUUGGGUUUGGGCUGUGAGGUGGCUUCCGAGCAGCGGUAAUCUGCAAGAUAUAUCAACCUGAGGUGAGUUAAUUGCUCUCUAUUUGAUAAAGUUGUAAAUAGGAUUUAGCUUGGGUUAUUAGAUUACUAAGAACCAUAUUACUAUAGAAUUGGGAGCAAGCUGUACAGGUUACUAUCAUGCAUGAGCUUUGGCAGUUGGAAAUUAAAGAGAGCUAUUUUACAAAUUUGGUUUAGAGAUCGAUAUAAAUCUCUAAGUUAAUGGAUUUGGGCUCGAGUAGUAGAUCCUUGGUUAUUAGUAAAGGUUUUAUCCUAGUAAACCAAGCAAAGGCUUAUAUGAAACCUGUAGAAAUAUGUAUAUAAUAAAAGUUAAUCUCUUGUAAUACUUUAGAUUAAUUGAUUGAGGUUCUUGGGUUAUGUGUGGUUCUUGGCACUGGGAAGCAAAUUGUUGAAGCUUCCAAAUCUGAGAUAUAGUUAUUACCUCAUUAAAGUUGAAAUAUUUACCCUACGAAGAGGUUGAACGUUGGGGUUCUUGGAUUCUAGAACCUGCUCUUGCCAUGGGAAAUCUAAGAAAAGCCUAGAAUAGGCCUACAUGUAUAUAUAGAAGAAUCUGACAGUGAGAAAAACUAUGAGUAAAUUAUAAUUCCUGAUUAAGAGUAGAUGUAUGUACCUUAAAGGAAUUGGUUUUGGGUAGUAGAAUUCUUGGAUUCUAAUGUUCGUCGAUACUAGAGCUUACUUCUGGUUACAUGUAAACUUAUAGAGAAGCUAUAUUAAAUAGCAUAUGUAAGCUCUUGGGUUGAAUCUGAGGGUUGUAAAUUUAUGGUUAUAGCAUGAAUGGAUCUCCUGUAUUCAUAAAUUACUUAGUUCAAGGCUUUUAAUUGGUUGAGGCUUAAAUUGCUUAUGUUCUUGUAUUAAGUUAUGUAAUGGCAGUUUAUGUAGAGCUCUAAACUCAAUAAUGCACUUUUGUAGGAUUGAGACCCUAACGUGAAAUUGGUCGCGUGUAAACCUAAUUGAAGGUAAAACAAACGCGUUGGCGAAGUCGGUUCGGCAAUCCGUCGAGCCUACGCAAAAAUAUCGCCAAAAGGACGUUUUCGGCAUCAAUUGUCGCGAGCGCGGGUCGCGGUUCUCGGGAAGUGCGGGAAGUGGAUUUCUCGCGUUCAGGUAUCAAAUAAAGGUGGGUUGUGCUUUACCGAAGUGAUUAGGUCACUUCCAUGCCAAAGUAAAUCGUGGUUUCAUUUGAUGCAUAUAUGAAUGCAUUAUGGUUAAUGCUAGAUGAUGUAUAAUGGUAAACAGAUAAUGAACAUGCUAGAGGCAUAGGAAUAUAUUGUAGAUUGUGCUAGAUACAUAUAAUUGUCGAUAUAUGAACGUGAAAGCUAAAUGCAUAGUUAUGCUAAAUUCAUAUGAGCAAACAUAUGGUAUAUGAAUGUUGAACCUGUAAAUGCCAAGGGCAUGUAAGUUGAAUAUGAAAUGUGAACAUAGAUGCUAAAGCAUACAUAAUUGUUGCCACAUAAAAGUGAAAGUUUGAUGCCUAUGUCUAAACAUAUAUGAAAGUGAAUGUACUAUAGUUCAAGCUAUAUGAAUGUCGAUAAUUCUAGUUGAUUAGAAAUCUUGACGGUAACAAAAUAAAUGAAAAUGUGCAAAUUAUAAUCCUAGGCGUGGAUAACUAGGAUAAUGAAUAGAUCGAGUGGCAUGAACCUAGUGUUAUUGAACAUAGGUUGGACAUGAAAUGAACCUAGUGUUAUUGAACAUAGGUUGGACAUGAAAUGAACCUAGUGUCAUUGAACAUAGGUUGAAUUAGUAAACCUAGAGUCGAGAUCUAGGUGAAAGAACAUGAAACCUAGCGUAAAUGAACCUAGGUUAUGAUGUAUAGAGACACUUAGUAAAAUUAAACUAAGUUAUGAAUUAUAGUGGUAAUAGGACCACUAGAAAGUGAAUGGUAUAGACCUAGAAAGGUCGUCGACAUAGGGUAAAAGAGUAAACCCUUAAGUUGUGAAAGUGGAUUCCGGAAUCCCUAGGAAUGGUGCUGAUGGCAAGAAUAGAAUCAGAACUACGGGAUUGACGGUUCUCCUCUCCCGGUAGUGAUUCAACGGGAUCGACGGUUCUCCUCUCCCGGUAUGCCAUGAAACAAGUGAAUCGGAACUACGGGAUUGACGGUUCUCCUCUCCCGGUAGUGAUUCAACGGGAUCGACGGUUCUCCUCUCCCGGUAUGAGCUAACGGGUUUGACGGUUCUCCUCGCCCGUUAAGCUUGAGCGACUUAGGGUCACAGGGAUCGAUGGUUUUCCUCUCCUUAUGAUGGACCUAGUGUCGCGUGGACUUAAGGCUGAGGUGCUUGUGAGACGUCCUUCACCUCGAGCCUGACUUGACGCGGUACUCCACGGAUGAUUGACUCAAGACCGAGUCGAGUGGCAUAGAUGGCUAAGGUAAGAUAACCUUAGGAAAGAAUCACCAGUGAGCAUAAUUUUACAAAGAGUAAAGAAUAAAGAGAAUAGCUAAUGAACGAGAAUAGCUAAGAAAGAAAAGAACGGCUACAAGUAAAGAACGGUUAAUGAUAUAAAGUAGAAUCAAGUAAUCUACUUACAUGAUUUACAGGUAUUGCAUAUUGCAUAGCAGCGAGGCAAAGUAUGGUUUUAUUUGUUGCAUAGUCAAAUAUCUAUCUAUCUAUUUGUUGAACUAACCUACUGUUGCCUCCUUUGGACCUGGUGGGUCGAGCUCUUCUCUUGGGUGGCCGUACCCACUGGGAACUAUAUUUAUAUAGUUCUCAC